UACGGGGGGGAGCAAGCGUUGUUCGGAUUUACUGGGCGUAAAGCGCACGUAGGCGGCCUGACAAGUCGGGUGUGAAAGCCCCUGGGCUCAACCCAGGAAGUGCACUCGAAACUGCCCAGGCUUGAAUAUGGAAGAGGGUCGCGGAAUUCUCGGUGUAGCGGUGAAAUGCGUAGAUAUCGAGAGGAACACCUGCGGCGAAGGCGGGUUGCUGGGCUGAUACUGACGCUGAGGCGCGAAAGCCAGGGAGCGAACGGG
Molecule: ribosomal RNA, 255 nt
Filed under: uncultured bacterium
Lineage: Bacteria
Description: partial 16S ribosomal RNA
Rfam family: Bacterial small subunit ribosomal RNA
Source: RNAcentral